UUGAGUUUGUCUUUAAAGAUAACAUUGUUUCAGCAGCAGCAUUUUUAGCUGGAAAUAAUGGGAAGAAGAAGAGAAAAACGAGGAUAGAAUUAGGGCACAACACGAUACCUGGUUGUAUUUUUAUAGACCAUUUAAAAUAAAUAAAUAAUAAACAUUAAAUCCACUUGGAAACUCCAAUAGUUGACAAAAUAGAAGAAAAAAUAUCUACUUAUAUUGCCACGUCAGCUUCCUUUAUUCAAAUCUAACGCUAGGGACCAAAAGUGUUGAAGGAAAA
This 274-nucleotide long non-coding RNA is filed under the name Lathyrus oleraceus (garden pea). RNAcentral's name for it is "Pisum sativum (pea) long non-coding RNA (PSAT_LNC009375)". Lineage: Eukaryota; Viridiplantae; Streptophyta; Magnoliopsida; Fabales; Fabaceae. The record is from RNAcentral.